GGGGGGGGGGGGGGGGGGGCGGGGGGGGUGGGGGUCGGGCGGGGGGGGGGGGCGGGCGCCGGGAUGCAGCGGCGGGCGGGGGAGUAAGGCCUGGGAAUCGGCCUGGGAGGGGGGGAGAGCGUCCGGGAACGGGCGCUAAUACCGCCUACGUCCUGAGGGAGAAGGUGGGGGAUCUUCGGACCUCACGCGAUGAGCGGAGCCUAGGUCGGAUUAGCUAGUUGGUGGGGUAAAGGCCUACCAAGGCGACGAUCCGUAACUGGUCUGAGAGGCUGAUCAGUCACACUGGAACUGAGACACGGUCCAGACUCCUACGGGAGGCAGCAGUGGGGAAUAUUGGACAAUGGGCGAAAGCCUGAUCCAGCCAUGCCGCGUGUGUGAAGAAGGUCUUCGGAUUGUAAAGCACUUUAAGUUGGGAGGAAGGGCAGUAAGUUAAUACCUUGCUGUUUUGACGUUACCAACAGAAUAAGCACCGGCUAACUUCGUG
RNAcentral lists this ribosomal RNA (484 nucleotides) under uncultured bacterium. RNAcentral's name for it is "partial 16S ribosomal RNA". It matches the Rfam family "Bacterial small subunit ribosomal RNA", at positions 39 to 507 of the family's 1533-position model. The record is from RNAcentral.